Molecule: ribosomal RNA, 845 nt
Filed under: uncultured archaeon
Lineage: Archaea
Description: bacterial SSU rRNA
Rfam family: Archaeal small subunit ribosomal RNA
Source: RNAcentral
CCCACGAAUACUGGGCCUAGAGCGUUCGUAGCCGGCCAGAUAAGUCUUCUGUGAAAUAGUGUGGCUUAACCUCACUGCGCGCAGGAGAUACUGUUUGGCUUGGGAACGGGGGAGGUCAGGAGUACACCCGGGGUAGGGGUAAAAUCCGUUGAGCCUGGGUGGACUACCAGUGGCGAAGGCGCCUGACCAAAACGUGUCCGACGGUGAGGAACGAAAGCUGGGGGAGCGAACGGGAUUAGAUACCCCGGUAGUCCCAGCUGUAAAUAAUGCGGACUGUGGUGUUGCUUCAGAGUUAAUCUGCAGCAGUGCUGUAGCGUAGGUGUUAAGUCCGCCGCCUGGGGAGUACGGCCGCAAGGUUGAAACUUAAAGGAAUUGGCGGGGGAGCACCACAAGGGGUGGAUGCUACGGUUUAAUUGGAUACAACGCCGGGAUGUUUUCCACAAGGGGGGCGACAAAUAAAGCCCAGUCUAAAGAUCUUGCCUAACAAGCCGAGAGGUGUUGCAUGGCCAUCGUCAGCUCGUGGCGUGAGUUGUCUGGUUAAGUCCAGCAACGAGCGAGACCCAUACCAUUAAUUGCUACUUUUACCUUUAGUAAGAGGCACCUUAAUGGGACUGCCCGCGUUAAGUGGGAGGAAGGAGUGGGCGACGGUAGGUCAGUAUGGCCCGAAUCCCUUGGGCUACACGCGGCAUGCAAUGGCUGGAACAAUGGGUUGCUACUCCGAAAGGAGGCGCUAAUCCCCUAAAUCCAGUCUUAGUUCGGAUUGAGGGUUGAAACUCACCCUCAUGAAGCUGGAAUCCCUAGUAAUCGCGUGUCAUCAUCGCGCGGUGAAUACGUCCCCGCUCCUU